Mustela erminea (ermine) is the source of this 504-nucleotide long non-coding RNA. RefSeq lists it as uncharacterized. The transcript has 3 exons. Lineage: Eukaryota; Metazoa; Chordata; Mammalia; Carnivora; Mustelidae. The record is from RefSeq and is a predicted model, not a curated record.
UUUUUUCCCUCAUGUAAGUAAUACCAUGAAGUUCCUGACUUUGGCUUAUUUUACUUAGCAUAAUGCCUGCCAGUUUCAUUCAUGGUGUCUGAAGAAGAAGGAUUCUGGUUUUGUUUGUUUAAAGCUGAAGAUAUUCCAUAAUAUAGAUAUAACAGUUUCUUUGUUCAUUCCUCUUUGAGGAAUACGUGGGUUCUUUUCUUAUCUUGGCUAUUGUAAAUUAUGCUGCAGUGAACAUGGUACUGCAAAUAUCUCUUCAAAGACAGAGAAAGAGAAAUAGAGUGUGAGCAGGGUGAGGGACAGGAGUAGACUUCCUGAUGACUGCAGAGACAGGAUGUGGGGCUCCAUCUAAAGACCUUAAGAUCAUGACUUGAGCCAAAACCAAGACUUGGGGGCUUAACCAACUUAGCCACCCAGAGGCCCUGAGGUGGUGAAAAUUUGAAUUUCUAAAUUGUAUGCAAUUAAACAUAGGAAUUCCAACCACUAUUCCAAUUGUGAGGUAAGAAA